GAUGAACGCUGGCGGCGUGCCUAAUACAUGCAAGUCGAGCGAACGGGCGAUAAGCUUUCUUCUCUGAUGUUAGCGGCUGACGGGUGAGUAACACGUGGAUCACCUACCUCUAAGACUGGGAUAACUUCGUGAAACCGGAGCUAAUACCGGAUGAUAUUUUGAACCGCAUGGUUCAAAAGUGAAAGACGGUCUUGCUGUCACUUAUAGAUGGAUCCGCGCUGCAUUAGCUAGUUGGUAAGGUAACGGCUUACCAAGGCAACGAUGCAUAGCCGACCUGAGAGGGUGAUCGGCCACACUGGAACUGAGACACGGUCCAGACUCCUACGGGAGGCAGCAGUAGGGAAUCUUCCGCAAUGGGCGAAAGCCUGACGGAGCAACGCCGCGUGAGUGAUGAAGGUCUUCGGAUCGUAAAACUCUGUUAUUAGGGAAGAACAGAUGUGUAAGUAACUGUGCACAUCUUGACGGUACCUAAUCAGAAAGCAACGGCUAACUACGUG
Molecule: ribosomal RNA, 497 nt
Filed under: uncultured bacterium
Lineage: Bacteria
Description: partial 16S ribosomal RNA
Rfam family: Bacterial small subunit ribosomal RNA
Source: RNAcentral